AGAGUUUGAUCAUGGCUCAGAUUGAACGCUGGCGGCAUGCUUUACACAUGCAAGUCGAACGGCAGCACGGGGGCAACCCUGGUGGCGAGUGGCGAACGGGUGAGUAAUAUAUCGGAACAUAUCCGGAAGUGGGGGAUAACGUACCGAAAGGUACGCUAAUACCGCAUAUGCCCUGAGGGGGAAAGGAGGGGAUCGUAAGACCUUUCGCUUUCGGAGUGGCCGAUAUCGGAUUAGCUAGUUGGUGAGGUAAAGGCUCACCAAGGCGACGAUCCGUAGCUGGUCUGAGAAGACGACCAGCCACACUGGAACUGAGACACGGUCCAGACUCCUACGGGAGGCAGCAGUGGGGAAUUUUGGACAAUGGGGGAAACCCUGAUCCAGCCAUGCCGCGUGAGUGAAGAAGGCCUUCGGGUUGUAAAGCUCUUUCAGCCGGAAAGAAAGCGCACAGGUUAAUACCUUGUGUGGAUGACGGUACCGGAAGAAGAAGCACCGGCUAACUACGUGCCAGCAGCCGCGGUAAUACGUAGGGUGCGAGCGUUAAUCGGAAUUACUGGGCGUAAAGCGUGCGCAGGCGGUUUUGUAAGACCAAUGUGAAAUCCCCGGGCUUAACCUGGGAACUGCAUAGGUGACUGCAAGGCUAGAGUACGGCAGAGGGGGGUAGAAUUCCACGUGUAGCAGUGAAAUGCGUAGAUAUGUGGAGGAAUACCGAUGGCGAAGGCAGCCCCCUGGGUCGAUACUGACGCUCAUGCACGAAAGCGUGGGGAGCAAACAGGAUUAGAUACCCUGGUAGUCCACGCCCUAAACGAU
This 807-nucleotide ribosomal RNA is filed under the name uncultured bacterium. RNAcentral's name for it is "bacterial SSU rRNA". It matches the Rfam family "Bacterial small subunit ribosomal RNA", at positions 8 to 810 of the family's 1533-position model. The record is from RNAcentral.